Molecule: long non-coding RNA, 331 nt
Filed under: Struthio camelus australis
Lineage: Eukaryota; Metazoa; Chordata; Aves; Struthioniformes; Struthionidae
Description: lncRNA (ENSSCUG00000010825.1)
Source: RNAcentral
UACAUGAAGGAAAACUGAAAGAUUGGCACAAAUGCCUGUGAAUUGAAAGGCUAAUGAUAAUGUGUGAGGAGUUGGAUAGAAAAAGCAUGUAGAGGUAAUAGCUAAUGGGAGCUGUACACAACUGCUGAGUCAGAAGAGGACAGAAAACGCAUUCGUUUUAGAGCUGAGUCAAGUCCACAGAUGAACUGGCACAUUGGGUAAAUAUAUCUGACAGUUACUUUUCAUAACUAACUGAUCAUACACACCGAACUGUUCAAUUCCAGAUGACAAUCCAGGGAUUUGUCCUAUAUAAUUGCUUAUAUACAGACUCUGUGUGAACUUUGUGAGGAGA